This 493-nucleotide ribosomal RNA is filed under the name uncultured bacterium. RNAcentral's name for it is "partial 16S ribosomal RNA". It matches the Rfam family "Bacterial small subunit ribosomal RNA", at positions 30 to 523 of the family's 1533-position model. The record is from RNAcentral.
AUUGAACGCUGGCGGCAUGCUUUACACAUGCAAGUCGAACGGUAACAGGUUAAGCUGACGAGUGGCGAACGGGUGAGUAAUGCAUCGGAACGUGCCCGGUCGUGGGGGAUAACGCAGCGAAAGCUGCGCUAAUACCGCAUACGAUCUGAGGAUGAAAGCGGGGGACCGUAAGGCCUCGCGCGAUCGGAGCGGCCGAUGUCAGAUUAGGUAGUUGGUGGGGUAAAGGCUCACCAAGCCAACGAUCUGUAGCUGGUCUGAGAGGACGACCAGCCACACUGGGACUGAGACACGGCCCAGACUCCUACGGGAGGCAGCAGUGGGGAAUUUUGGACAAUGGGCGAAAGCCUGAUCCAGCAAUGCCGCGUGCAGGAAGAAGGCCUUCGGGUUGUAAACUGCUUUUGUACGGAACGAAACGGCGAGCUCUAAUAAAGUUUGCUAAUGACGGUACCGUAAGAAUAAGCACCGGCUAACUACGUGCCAGCCGCCGCAGUAA